Molecule: long non-coding RNA, 13138 nt
Organism: Anopheles funestus (African malaria mosquito)
Lineage: Eukaryota; Metazoa; Arthropoda; Insecta; Diptera; Culicidae
Exons: 3
Source: RefSeq, a predicted model, not a curated record
GAUGAAAACCAUCAAUUUUGACUACAAACAUCUAGUUUCUACCAACAUUGAUGAAAACCAUCAAUUACAACCAAAACUAACUAGUUUCUACCAACAUUGAUGAAAACCAUCAAUUACAACCAAAACUAACUAGUUUCUACCAACAUUGAUGAAAACCAUCAAUUACAACCAAAACUAACUAGUUUCUACCAACAUUGAUGAAAACCAUCAAUUUUGACUACAAACAUCCAUUUUCUACUAACUUUGACCAAAAACACCAACUUUGGCUACAAACAUCCAUUUUCCUCCAACUUUGACCAAAAACACCAACUUUGGCUACAAACAUCUAGUUUCUACCAACUUUGACCAAAAACACCAACUUUGGCUACAAACAUCCAUUUUCUACUAACUUUGACCAAAAACACCAACUUUGGCUACAAACAUCUAGUUUCUACCAACUUUGACCAAAAACACCAACUUUGGCUACAAACAUCUAGUUUCUACCAACUUUGACCAAAACACCAACUUUGGCUACAAACAUCCAUUUUCUACUAACUUUAACCAAAAACACCAACUUUGGCUACAAACAUCUAGUUUCUACCAACUUUGACCAAAAACACCAACUUUGGCUACAAACAUCCAUUUUCUACCAACUUUGACCAAAAACACCAACUUUGGCUACAAACAUCUAGUUUCUACCAACUUUAACCAAAAACACCAACUUUGGCUACAAACAUCUAGUUUCUACCAACAUUGAUGAAAACCAUCAAUUUUGACUACAAACAUCUAGUUUUUACCAACAUUGAUGAAAACCAUCAAUUUUGACUACAAACAUCCAUUUUCUACUAACUUUGACCAAAAACAUCAACUUUGGCUACAAACAUCCACUUUCUACCAACUUUGACCAAAAACACCAACUUUGGCUACAAACAUCUAGUUUCUACCAACUUUGACCAAAAACACCAACUUUGGCUACAAACAUUCGUUUUCUACCAACUUUGACCAAAAACACCAACUUUGGCUACAAACAUCUAGUUUCUACCAACAUUGAUGAAAAUCAUCAAUUUUGACUACAAACAUCUAGUUUCUACCAACAUUGAUGAAAACCAUCAAUUACAACCAAAACUAACUAGUUUCUACCAACAUUGAUGAAAACCACCCACUACAACCAAAACUAACUAGUUUCUACCAACAUUGAUGAAAACCAUCAAUUUUGACUACAAACAUCUAGUUUCUACCAACAUUGAUGAAAAUCAUCAAUUUUGACUACAAACAUCUAGUUUCUACCAACAUUGAUGAAAACCAUCAAUUUUGACUACAAACAUCCAUUUUUUACUAACUUUGACCAAAAACACCAACUUUGGCUACAAACAUCCACUUUCUACCAACUUUGACCAAAAACACCAACUUUGGCUACAAACAUCUAGUUUCUACCAACUUUGACCAAAAACACCAACUUUGGCUACAAACAUCUAGUUUCUACCAACUUUGACCAAAAACAUCAACUUUGGCUACAAACAUCCAUUUUCUACCAACUUUGACCAAAAACACCAACUUUGGCUACAAACAUCUAGUUUCUACCAACUUUGACCAAAAACACCAACUUUGGCUACAAACAUCUAGUUUCUACCAACUUUGACCAAAAACACCAACUUUGGCUACAAACAUCUAGUUUCUACCAACUUUGACCAAAAACAUCAACUUUGGCUACAAACAUCCAUUUUCUACCAACUUUGACCAAAAACAUCAACUUUGGCUACAAACAUUCAUUUUCUACCAACUUUGACCAAAAACACCAACUUUGGCUACAAACAUCUAGUUUCUACCAACUUUGACCAAAAACACCAACUUUGGCUACAAACAUCUAGUUUCUACCAACUUUGACCAAAAACACCAACUUUGGCUACAAACAUCUAGUUUCUACCAACUUUGACCAAAAACACCAACUUUGGCUACAAACAUCCAUUUUCUACUAACUUUGACCAAAAACACCAACUUUGGCUACAAACAUCUAGUUUCUACCAACUUUGACCAAAAACACCAACUUUGGCUACAAACAUUCGUUUUCUACCAACUUUGACCAAAAACACCAACUUUGGCUACAAACAUCCAUUUUCUACUAACUUUGACCAAAACCAUCAAUUUUGACUACAAACAUCUAGUUUCUACCAACUUUGACCAAAAACACCAACUUUGGCUACAAACAUCUAGUUUCUACCAACUUUGACCAAAAACACCAACUUUGGCUACAAACAUCUAGUUUCUACCAACUUUGACCAAAAACACCAACUUUGGCUACAAACAUUCGUUUUCUACCAACUUUGACCAAAAACACCAACUUUGGCUACAAACAUCCAUUUUCUACUAACUUUGACCAAAACCAUCAAUUUUGACUACAAACAUCUAGUUUCUACCAACUUUGACCAAAAACACCAACUUUGGCUACAAACAUCUAGUUUCUACCAACUUUGACCAAAAACACCAACUUUGGCUACAAACAUCUAGUUUCUACCAACUUUGACCAAAAACACCAACUUUGGCUACAAACAUCCAUUUUCUACUAACUUUGACCAAAAACACCAACUUUGGCUACAAACAUCUAGUUUCUACCAACUUUGACCAAAAACACCAACUUUGGCUACAAACAUCCAUUUUCUACUAACUUUGACCAACAACACCAACUUUGGCUACAAACAUCUAGUUUCUACCAACUUUGACCAAAAACACCAACUUUGGCUACAAAUAUCUAGUUUCUACCAACUUUGACCAAAAACACCAACUUUGGCUACAAACAUCUAGUUUCUACUAACUUUGACCAAAAACACCAACUUUGGCUACAAACAUCUAGUUUCUACCAACUUUGACCAAAAACACCAACUUUGGCUACAAACAUCUUGUUUCUACCAACUUUGACCAAAAACACCAACUUUGGCUACAAACAUCUAGUUUCUACCAACUUUGACCAAAAACACCAACUUUGACAAACAUCUAGUUUCUACCAACUUUGACCAAAAACAUAAACUUUGGCUACAAACAUCCAUUUUCUACCAACUUUGACCAAAAACACCAACUUUGGCUACAAACAUCUAGUUUCUACCAACUUUGACCAAAAACACCAACUUUGGCUACAAACAUCCAUUUUCUACUAACUUUGACCAAAAACACCAACUUUGGCUACAAUCAUCUAGUUUCUACCAACUUUGACCAAAAACACCAACUUUGGCUACAAACAUCCAUUUUCUACCAACUUUGACCAAAAACACCAACUUUGGCUACAAACAUCUAGUUUCUACCAACUUUAACCAAAAACACCAACUUUGGCUACAAACAUCUAGUUUCUACCAACUUUGACCAAAAACACCAACUUUGGCUACAAACAUCUAGUUUCUACCAACUUUGACCAAAAACACCAACUUUGGCUACAAACAUCCAUUUUCUACCAACUUUGACCAAAAACACCAACUUUGGCUACAAACAUCCAUUUUCUACUAACUUUGACCAAAAACACCAACUUUGGCUACAAACAUCUAGUUUCUACCAACUUUGACCAAAAACACCAACUUUGGCUACAAACAUCCAUUUUCUACCAACUUUGACCAAAAACACCAACUUUGGCUACAAACAUCUAGUUUCUACCAACUUUAACCAAAAACACCAACUUUGGCUACAAACAUCUAGUUUCUACCAACUUUGACCAAAAACACCAACUUUGGCUAUAAACAUCUAGUUUCUACCAACUUUGACCAAAAACACCAACUUUGGCUACAAACAUCCAUUUUCUACUAACUUUGACCAAAAACACCAACUUUGGCUACAAACAUCUAGUUUCUACCAACUUUGACCAAAAACACCAACUUUGGCUACAAACAUCUUGUUUCUACCAACUUUGACCAAAAACACCAACUUUGGCUACAAACAUCUAGUUUCUACCAACUUUGACCAAAAACACCAACUUUGACAAACAUCUAGUUUCUACCAACUUUGACCAAAAACACCAACUUUGGCUACAAACAUCCAUUUUCUACCAACUUUGACCAAAAACACCAACUUUGGCUACAAACAUCCAUUUUCUACCAACUUUGACCAAAAACACCAACUUUGGCUACAAACAUCUAGUUUCUACCAACUUUGACCAAAAACACCAACUUUGGCUACAAACAUCCAUUUUCUACUAACUUUGACCAAAAACACCAACUUUGGCUACAAUCAUCUAGUUUCUACCAACUUUGACCAAAAACACCAACUUUGGCUACAAACAUCCAUUUUCUACCAACUUUGACCAAAAACACCAACUUUGGCUACAAACAUCUAGUUUCUACCAACUUUAACCAAAAACACCAACUUUGGCUACAAACAUCUAGUUUCUACCAACUUUGACCAAAAACACCAACUUUGGCUAUAAACAUCUAGUUUCUACCAACUUUGACCAAAAACACCAACUUUGGCUACAAACAUCCAUUUUCUACCAACUUUGACCAAAAACACCAACUUUGGCUACAAACAUCCAUUUUCUACUAACUUUGACCAAAAACACCAACUUUGGCUACAAACAUCCAUUUUCUACCAACUUUGACCAAAAACACCAACUUUGGCUACAAAUAUCCAUUUUCUACUAACUUUGACCAAAAACACCAACUUUGGCUACAAACAUCUUGUUUCUACCAACUUUGACCAAAAACACCAACUUUGGCUACAAACAUCUAGUUUCUACCAACUUUGACCAAAAACACCAACUUUGGCUACAAACAUCCAUUUUCUACUAACUUUGACCAACAACACCAACUUUGGCUACAAACAUCUAGUUUCUACCAACUUUGACCAAAAACACCAACUUUGGCUACAAAUAUCUAGUUUCUACCAACUUUGACCAAAAACACCAACUUUGGCUACAAACAUCCAUUUUCUACUAACUUUGACCAAAAACACCAACUUUGGCUACAAACAUCUAGUUUCUACCAACUUUGACCAAAAACACCAACUUUGGCUACAAACAUCUUGUUUCUACCAACUUUGACCAAAAACACCAACUUUGGCUACAAACAUCUAGUUUCUACCAACUUUGACCAAAAACACCAACUUUGACAAACAUCUAGUUUCUACCAACUUUGACCAAAAACACCAACUUUGGCUAUAAACAUCCAUUUUCUACCAACUUUGACCAAAAACAUAAACUUUGGCUACAAACAUCCAUUUUCUACCAACUUUGACCAAAAACACCAACUUUGGCUACAAACAUCUAGUUUCUACCAACUUUGACCAAAAACACCAACUUUGGCUACAAACAUCCAUUUUCUACUAACUUUGACCAAAAACACCAACUUUGGCUACAAUCAUCUAGUUUCUACCAACUUUGACCAAAAACACCAACUUUGGCUACAAACAUCCAUUUUCUACCAACUUUGACCAAAAACACCAACUUUGGCUACAAACAUCUAGUUUCUACCAACUUUAACCAAAAACACCAACUUUGGCUACAAACAUCUAGUUUCUACCAACUUUGACCAAAAACACCAACUUUGGCUACAAACAUCUAGUUUCUACCAACUUUGACCAAAAACACCAACUUUGGCUACAAACAUCCAUUUUCUACUAACUUUGACCAAAAACACCAACUUUGGCUACAAACAUCUAGUUUCUACCAACUUUGACCAAAAACACCAACUUUGGCUACAAACAUCUUGUUUCUACCAACUUUGACCAAAAACACCAACUUUGGCUACAAACAUCUAGUUUCUACCAACUUUGACCAAAAACACCAACUUUGACAAACAUCUAGUUUCUACCAACUUUGACCAAAAACACCAACUUUGGCUAUAAACAUCCAUUUUCUACCAACUUUGACCAAAAUCAUCAACUUUGGCUACAAACAUCCAUUUUCUACCAACUUUGACCAAAAACACCAACUUUGGCUACAAACAUCUAGUUUCUACCAACUUUGACCAAAAACACCAACUUUGGCUACAAACAUCCAUUUUCUACUAACUUUGACCAAAAACACCAACUUUGGCUACAAUCAUCUAGUUUCUACCAACUUUGACCAAAAACACCAACUUUGGCUACAAACAUCCAUUUUCUACCAACUUUGACCAAAAACACCAACUUUGGCUACAAACAUCUAGUUUCUACCAACUUUAACCAAAAACACCAACUUUGGCUACAAACAUCUAGUUUCUACCAACUUUGACCAAAAACACCAACUUUGGCUACAAACAUCUAGUUUCUACCAACUUUGACCAAAAACACCAACUUUGGCUACAAACAUCCAUUUUCUACCAACUUUGACCAAAAACACCAACUUUGGCUACAAACAUCCAUUUUCUACUAACUUUGACCAAAAACACCAACUUUGGCUACAAACAUCCAUUUUCUACCAACUUUGACCAAAAACACCAACUUUGGCUACAAACAUCCAUUUUCUACUAACUUUGACCAAAAACACCAACUUUGGCUACAAACAUCUUGUUUCUACCAACUUUGACCAAAAACACCAACUUUGGCUACAAACAUCUAGUUUCUACCAACUUUGACCAAAAACACCAACUUUGGCUACAAACAUCCAUUUUCUACUAACUUUGACCAAAAACACCAACUUUGGCUACAAACAUCCAUUUUCUACUAACUUUGACCAAAAACACCAACUUUGGCUACAAACAUCUAGUUUCUACCAACUUUGACCAAAAACACCAACUUUGGCUACAAACAUCCAUUUUCUACUAACUUUGACCAACAACACCAACUUUGGCUACAAACAUCUAGUUUCUACCAACUUUGACCAAAAACACCAACUUUGGCUACAAAUAUCUAGUUUCUACCAACUUUAACCAAAAACACCAACUUUGGCUACAAACAUCUAGUUUCUACCAACUUUGACCAAAAACACCAACUUUGGCUACAAACAUCUAGUUUCUACCAACUUUGACCAAAAACACCAACUUUGGCUAUAAACAUCUAGUUUCUACCAACUUUGACCAAAAACACCAACUUUGGCUACAAACAUCCAUUUUCUACCAACUUUGACCAAAAACACCAACUUUGGCUACAAACAUCCAUUUUCUACUAACUUUGACCAAAAACACCAACUUUGGCUACAAACAUCCAUUUUCUACCAACUUUGACCAAAAACACCAACUUUGGCUACAAACAUCCAUUUUCUACUAACUUUGACCAAAAACACCAACUUUGGCUACAAACAUCUUGUUUCUACCAACUUUGACCAAAAACACCAACUUUGGCUACAAACAUCUAGUUUCUACCAACUUUGACCAAAAACACCAACUUUGGCUACAAAUAUCCAUUUUCUACUAACUUUGACCAAAAACACCAACUUUGGCUACAAACAUCCAUUUUCUACUAACUUUGACCAAAAACACCAACUUUGGCUACAAACAUCUAGUUUCUACCAACUUUGACCAAAAACACCAACUUUGGCUACAAACAUCCAUUUUCUACUAACUUUGACCAACAACACCAACUUUGGCUACAAACAUCUAGUUUCUACCAACUUUGACCAAAAACACCAACUUUGGCUACAAAUAUCUAGUUUCUACCAACUUUAACCAAAAACACCAACUUUGGCUACAAACAUCUAGUUUCUACCAACUUUAACCAAAAACACCAAUUUUGGCUACAAACAUCCAUUUUCUACCAACUUUGACCAAAAACACCAACUUUGGCUACAAACAUCCAUUUUCUACUAACUUUGACCAAAAACACCAACUUUGGCUACAAACAUCUAGUUUCUACCAACUUUAACCAAAAACACCAAUUUUGGCUACAAACAUCCAUUUUCUACCAACUUUGACCAAAAACACCAACUUUGGCUACAAAUAUCCAUUUUCUACUAACUUUGACCAAAAACACCAACUUUGGCUACAAACAUCUUGUUUCUACCAACUUUGACCAAAAACACCAACUUUGGCUACAAACAUCUAGUUUCUACCAACUUUAACCAAAAACACCAACUUUGGCUACAAACAUCUAGUUUCUACUAACUUUGACCAAAAACACCAACUUUGGCUACAAACAUCCAUUUUCUACCAACUUUGACCAAAAACACCAACUUUGGCUACAAAUAUCCAUUUUCUACUAACUUUGACCAAAAACACCAACUUUGGCUACAAACAUCUUGUUUCUACCAACUUUGACCAAAAACACCAACUUUGGCUACAAACAUCUAGUUUCUACCAACUUUAACCAAAAACACCAACUUUGGCUAUAAACAUCUAGUUUCUACCAACUUUGACCAAAAACACCAACUUUGGCUACAAACAUCCAUUUUCUACCAACUUUGACCAAAAACACCAACUUUGGCUACAAACAUCCAUUUUCUACUAACUUUGACCAAAAACACCAACUUUGGCUACAAACAUCCAUUUUCUACCAACUUUGACCAAAAACACCAACUUUGGCUACAAACAUCCAUUUUCUACUAACUUUGACCAAAAACACCAACUUUGGCUACAAACAUCUAGUUUCUACCAACUUUGACCAAAAACACCAACUUUGGCUACAAACAUCUAGUUUCUACCAACUUUAACCAAAAACACCAACUUUGGCUACAAACAUCUAGUUUCUACCAACUUUAACCAAAAACACCAACUUUGGCUACAAACAUCCAUUUUCUACCAACUUUGACCAAAAACACCAACUUUGGCUACAAACAUCCAUUUUCUACUAACUUUGACCAAAAACACCAACUUUGGCUACAAACAUCUAGUUUCUACCAACUUUAACCAAAAACACCAACUUUGGCUACAAACAUCUAGUUUCUACCAACUUUGACCAAAAACACCAACUUUGGCUACAAACAUCCAUUUUCUACUAACUUUGACCAAAAACACCAACUUUGGCUACAAACAUCCAUUUUCUACCAACUUUAACCAAAAACACCAACUUUGGCUACAAACAUCCAUUUUCUACCAACUUUGACCAAAAACACCAACUUUGGCUACAAACAUCCAUUUUCUACUAACUUUGACCAAAAACACCAACUUUGGCUACAAACAUCCAUUUUCUACCAACUUUGACCAAAAACACCAACUUUGGCUACAAACAUCCAUUUUCUACUAACUUUGACCAAAAACACCAACUUUGGCUACAAACAUCUAGUUUCUACCAACUUUGACCAAAAACACCAACUUUGGCUACAAACAUCUAGUUUCUACCAACUUUGACCAAAAACACCAACUUUGGCUACAAACAUCCAUUUUCUACUAACUUUGACCAAAAACACCAACUUUGGCUACAAACAUCCAUUUUCUACCAACUUUAACCAAAAUCAUCAACUUUGGCUACAAACAUCCAUUUUCUACCAACUUUGACCAAAAACACCAACUUUGGCUACAAAUAUCCAUUUUCUACUAACUUUGACCAAAAACACCAACUUUGGCUACAAACAUCUUGUUUCUACCAACUUUGACCAAAAACACCAACUUUGGCUACAAACAUCUAGUUUCUACCAACUUUAACCAAAAACACCAACUUUGGCUACAAACAUCUAGUUUCUACUAACUUUGACCAAAAACACCAACUUUGGCUACAAACAUCCAUUUUCUACCAACUUUGACCAAAAACACCAACUUUGGCUACAAACAUCCAUUUUCUACUAACUUUGACCAAAAACACCAACUUUGGCUACAAACAUCCAUUUUCUACCAACUUUGACCAAAAACACCAACUUUGGCUACAAACAUCCAUUUUCUACUAACUUUGACCAAAAACACCAACUUUGGCUACAAACAUCUUGUUUCUACCAACUUUGACCAAAAACACCAACUUUGGCUACAAACAUCUAGUUUCUACCAACUUUAACCAAAAACACCAACUUUGGCUACAAACAUCUAGUUUCUACCAACUUUAACCAAAAACACCAACUUUGGCUACAAACAUCCAUUUUCUACCAACUUUGACCAAAAACACCAACUUUGGCUACAAAUAUCCAUUUUCUACUAACUUUGACCAAAAACACCAACUUUGGCUACAAACAUCUUUUUUCUACCAACUUUGACCAAAAACACCAACUUUGGCUACAAACAUCUAGUUUCUACCAACUUUAACCAAAAACACCAACUUUGGCUAUAAACAUCUAGUUUCUACCAACUUUGACCAAAAACACCAACUUUGGCUACAAACAUCCAUUUUCUACCAACUUUGACCAAAAACACCAACUUUGGCUACAAACAUCCAUUUUCUACUAACUUUGACCAAAAACACCAACUUUGGCUACAAACAUCCAUUUUCUACCAACUUUGACCAAAAACACCAACUUUGGCUACAAACAUCCAUUUUCUACUAACUUUGACCAAAAACACCAACUUUGGCUACAAACAUCUUGUUUCUACCAACUUUGACCAAAAACACCAACUUUGGCUACAAACAUCUAGUUUCUACCAACUUUAACCAAAAACACCAACUUUGGCUACAAACAUCUAGUUUCUACCAACUUUAACCAAAAACACCAACUUUGGCUACAAACAUCCAUUUUCUACCAACUUUGACCAAAAACACCAACUUUGGCUACAAACAUCCAUUUUCUACUAACUUUGACCAAAAACACCAACUUUGGCUACAAACAUCUAGUUUCUACCAACUUUAACCAAAAACACCAACUUUGGCUACAAACAUCCAUUUUCUACCAACUUUGACCAAAAACACCAACUUUGGCUACAAACAUCCAUUUUCUACUAACUUUGACCAAAAACACCAACUUUGGCUACAAACAUCUAGUUUCUACUAACAUUGACCAAAACCAUCAACUUUGGUCACAAACAUCUAGUUUCUACUAACUUUGACCAAAACCAUCAGCUACAUCCGCGUAUGUAGAAUGUGUGCGAGAAUGUGUGCGAUGCUAUUGGCCGCAAACAAUGUUCCUCUCUGUUUGCCACAACAUUUUUUACUAUUUCCAAUGUUUUUACCUGCAUUGAAACAGGUGGUUGAAAAUGUUAUGCACAGGUAUUUUUAUAUCCGAAAAAUAAUCUGUUCAGUGCCCUUCUUCAAAAGAACGAAUUGAUGGACAAAUUGAAAUACAUCUGAGCACAUCGACGUAAAACAACUUAUGGUAGCUAAUGAACGGAUCUAUCCAAAUCUCUGUUACAAUUGAAGAUCCAUUGGAAACUGACCGAGUUAUGGCAGGUGACAGAAAAAGCUUAGGUCGCGAAUAACUUUUUUGUCCGACAUCGGAGCACAUGGUCGUGUAAGACUUUUAGCUUGCAUUCAUUGAGAUCUAUCCAAAUCACAAAGAAAAUCCAAAAUCGGUUGAUAAAUGACUGAGAUAUGGGCAAAAAAGAGAAGUUGAAAUGCGAACCGCGAGAAAUCAGCCUGAAGGUAGCCAAUUCGUAUAAGCCAUUCAAUGAAUUAGAAGUUACUUUUUCGAAUAACUUUUUCCACAGACAUCUUAGCACAUCGACGUAGAACAACUUAUGGUAGCUAAUGAGCAGAUCUAUCCAAAUCUGUGUUACAAUUGAAGAUCCAUUGGAAACUGACCGAGUUAUAAGCAUGCAAAGUGGCAAAAUGAGAAAUUUUUUUUUUUUGAAAAACCGAGAAAAUUUCAAGUCUUUGUAUCUCGAAUAACAUUUGACACAGACAACUUAGCACAUCGGCGUAGAAUAACUUUUGGUAGUUUAUAAGCAGAUCUAUCCAUAUCUGUUUUACAAUUGAAGAUCCAUUGGAAACUGACCGAGUUAUAAGCAUGCAAGUGACAAAAUGAGGAUUUUUUUGUAAAAAUCGAGAAAAUCUUUUAUAAAAGAAAAAAUAAGAAUCGAGAAAAUAAGAUUUUAAAAACAUUAAAUGUACUGGAAAGAAGUUUUCAUUCCUACCGACAACAAUUAAAGCGCAGCGGAAUAUAAUUCGUUUAUUUCUUUCAUCACAUUGCUUACAUUUGGACCCAAUCGGCUCAAUCGUCCUUCACUUGCUUGGUAUGUGAUAAUAUGUGUAAUUAUCAUGCACAUUAACGAUAUCGUACACCGGAACGUUCCGGUGUAAAAUACAAUUCAAUUUUAAUGCCAUGCGGAAAAAGUGCCGAACUUGUCCGCUACACCUAAUGAAAGCUUUAUAUUGUACCCAGACGAAAGCUUUACAUCAAAAGCUCUGUGAUGCGAGAGCUUUUCCAUAUGCAUUGGAACCAUUUGGAAAGCUUUACCGCCAUUUGCAUUGGGUGUGUAGUAAAAGUGAUGUCAGUAAAAAUGUCAUCGCAGAUUCAUAACGUAAUAAUGUCGAAUUAUGCUUAUAUUUUCGGCUCAACUGUCAUUUAUUGGGUUUGUUGACAAUAAUAUAUGCAAUUGUGUGUGCACAUAAAUUUUUUUACCCAUACGCGGAACCUUCCGGCGUAAAUUGCAAUUCAAUUUAAGCCAAUGUUUUAAAUUGCAUUUUGAUUUCAUCUUCAUUACAGUAUUCUACUUAUUAUGUGUGGAAGUGUGUGAUACAAUUAAAUAUACAUUUAACAAAUCGUGAAGUUUUCUGCAAGAAUAUGUGCAAAACUGUUUGUAAUGGCAACCGUUCAAAAUAUGGGCGUGCGGUUUUUUUUUAUUUAAUUACAUUAAAUUGUAUUUUAUCAAAUGAGUCCAUUCAGGUGUUCCACCACUCUCUGUUGCUCUCUCGCACUGAUUGAUCGAAUCGUUCCCAUGCGAAAGAAUGGGAAGAAAAAAUUUGAUUUAUUUUUUGUUAGUACUGUUUUAAAUCGGAUUUUGGUCGGCUGUUAUAAUCAUUGAUUGUGGAGAAUUGGUUGAAAUAAAGUUUGACAGAAAAGAAAUAAUUUAAUUUAAUUUAUUAUAAUUUAAUUUAUGAUAAAUUAAUUUAUUUUAUUUUAAUUUAAUUUAAUUUAAUUCCAUAACAUUUCAUUUCAUUUCAUAUCAUUUCAUAUCAUUUCAUAUCAUUUCAUAUCAUUUCAUAUCAUUUCAUAUCAUUUCAUAUCAUUUCAUAUCAUUUCAUAUCAUUUCAUAUCAUUUCAUAUCAUUUCAUAUCAUUUCAUAUAAUUUCAUAUCAUUUCAUGUCAUUUCAUGUCAUUUCAUGUCGUUUCAUGUCAUUUCAUGUCAUUUCAUGCACAGCAAUAUCGCGCGCGCGCAAGCAUGCUCACUCCCACAGCAACAGCUAAUCGAACAUAUGGCACCACCCCCACCCACAAAAAACCACACCGGCAACAGCUGUUGAUACGGUGCGCGCUCCG